GAUGAACGCUGGCGGCGUGCCUAAUACAUGCAAGUCGAGCGAACAGACGAGGAGCUUGCUCCUCUGACGUUAGCGGCGGACGGGUGAGUAACACGUGGAUAACCUACCUAUAAGACUGGGAUAACUUCGGGAAACCGGAGCUAAUACCGGAUAACAUGUUGAACCGCAUGGUUCAACAGUGAAAGGCGGUCUUGCUGUCACUUAUAGAUGGAUCCGCGCCGCAUUAGCUAGUUGGUAAGGUAACGGCUUACCAAGGCAACGAUGCGUAGCCGACCUGAGAGGGUGAUCGGCCACACUGGAACUGAGACACGGUCCAGACUCCUACGGGAGGCAGCAGUAGGGAAUCUUCCGCAAUGGGCGAAAGCCUGACGGAGCAACGCCGCGUGAGUGAAGAAGGUCUUCGGAUCGUAAAACUCUGUUAUUAGGGAAGAACAAAUGUGUAAGUAACUAUGCACGUCCUGACGGUACCUAAUCAGAAAGCCACGGCUAACUACGUG
RNAcentral lists this ribosomal RNA (497 nucleotides) under uncultured bacterium. RNAcentral describes it as "partial 16S ribosomal RNA". It matches the Rfam family "Bacterial small subunit ribosomal RNA", at positions 28 to 507 of the family's 1533-position model. The record is from RNAcentral.